This is a long non-coding RNA of Peromyscus eremicus (cactus mouse), 1792 nucleotides long. RefSeq lists it as uncharacterized. The record is from RefSeq and is a predicted model, not a curated record. The transcript is spliced from 3 exons. NCBI's taxonomy places the organism in Eukaryota, Metazoa, Chordata, Mammalia, Rodentia, Cricetidae.
CAUGCACACCAUGUAGCCACUACAGGUGACAGCUGGCUCUCCACCUCACCCCUGUGCGCAUCUCUGCCUAUGCUGUCAUUGUCUUCAGAUGUAGGUCCCCUAAAGAUGAUGUCACCCCCAGACAACAUGAAGUAAUUUUAAGAACAUGAGACCCACAUUCCCAAGAGAAGAAGCAGAGCGAUAUUUUAAGAAGGUAACUCAAGAGCUGAUGAAGAAGCCACAGUGGAAUCAGUGAUCACUUGUGAGACUGUUCAACCAGACACAGCAAGGAUGGGAACAAAGAGGCAGAAUCAAAGGGAGUUGUGAGGAGACUCAGCUGCACACCCCAUACCACACACCUUCUCUGCCGAAAUAGAUUGUACCUUCUCAAACCCUGUGAAGAUCCCUAGAGCUGAUUCUAGCACAUUUCAGCAAAGAAGGAGUUUCCUGGAACUGGCUCAAAAAGGCACACUGGUCCAUAUACGACUGGAGCAGCAGCAAGGUGAAGUUUUGAAAAGAUCUCUGCUGCGUGAGUAGCCAUAGACUCCCAUGAACCACACUCACGAGAGUCAUUAGAUUAUACACUGAAGCUUGUUCAGAAGAAUAGCUCUGGGUUAUAGGGGAGAAACUUUGAUUUGGAACUGCACAGUAUUCAAUAACGCAAAAAUCUGGUCAGAGCCAGGCUUUAGAGGAAAAUAGACUCAUAUUCUAAGUGGUGCACAGGGCAGCAGGAAAGUUGAGGCCAACUUUGGCAACCUGACUCAUGAAAACAGGACCAGUAUCUGAGAUCCAACUUUACAAAGUUGAGGUGGGGCCAGCAUUCAAGGCCAACUCUUGAAUGACUGCCCACUGACUGCUUCAGCAUCUGUGACCUUUGCAAAAGGUUACCCAGGGAUGUGACAGGAAUUUGGAAGCCUGGAAAGAAAAAUCAAAGAGAGUGGAGACUGAUAUCAGCAAGUAGGUGAGACUGUAGUCAGACUCUACUCCUACCCCGUUCCCUGUUAACAUCCACUCCCCCUUUAUUUAACAGCCAACACCAAUUGUAGAAAUCAACAGCAGGAGACACUACAGAAUACGUGAACUAUGGGAGACUGAAUGAUACACCACUGAAUGAUGAAUGGAUCAUUGAAGAAGUCAACAAGGAAAUAAAAACAUCCUUAGAAUUAAAUGAAAAUCAAAGUACAACAUUCUAAAACCUAUGGCGUACCAAGAAAGCAGUCCUCAGAGAAAAGUGUAGAGCCACAGGCGCCUGCAUUUAAGAAGUCAAGGUGCUCUCAAAUAACUCACUUACUGAUGUGCCUUGGGGUCUUAGAAAAACAAGUCAAAUCCCAAACCAUCGAUGGAAAGGAAUUAUUAAGAUCAGGGCAGAAGUUAAUAGAGUGGAAAUUAAAAACCACAAACAAUACAAAGAAUCAAAGAGUUGGUUCUUUGAAAAGAUUAAUAAGAACAGCAAAGCCUUAGCCAAAGUAAGCAAAAGAAAGAGAGAGGACCCAAAUUAAUAAAAUUAGAGCUGAAAAGGAGGCAUUACAGUGAAUACCAAGGAAAUUCAGAAAAUCAUUAGGACACAAACAUUCAUGUUCUAUUAAAUUGAAAAAUCUAAAAGAAAUAGAUGACUUUCUACAUGCAUAUGAGAUAAGUAAUUUAAACAGAUCUAUAACAAGCAAUGAGAUUGAAGCUGUAAAAAAAAAAGAAAAUCUCCUAGUUAAAAGGCAUCCAGUCCCAGAUGGAUUUAUUGUUGGAGUCUCCCAGAUGUCUGAAGACCUAACAUUCAUGCUUCUCAAUCUAAAUGCUCUCAUGCAGUCUAGUGAGCCAC